GCCGGCGGCACAGCGCGGUGGUCCCACCUGACCCCAUGCCGAACUCAGAAGUGAAACGCCGUAGCGCCGAUGGUAGUGUGGGGUCUCCCCAUGCGAGAGUAGGGAACUGCCAGGC
This 115-nucleotide ribosomal RNA is filed under the name Salmonella enterica subsp. enterica serovar 1,4,[5],12:i:-. Lineage: Bacteria; Pseudomonadati; Pseudomonadota; Gammaproteobacteria; Enterobacterales; Enterobacteriaceae. The record is from RNAcentral.